GAUGAACGCUGGCGGCGUGCCUAAUACAUGCAAGUCGAGCGAACAGACGAGGAGCUUGCUCCUCUGACGUUAGCGGCGGACGGGUGAGUAACACGUGGAUAACCUACCUAUAAGACUGGGAUAACUUCGGGAAACCGGAGCUAAUACCGGAUAAUAUAUUGAACCGCAUGGUUCAAUAGUGAAAGACGGUUUUGCUGUCACUUAUAGAUGGAUCCGCGCCGAAUUAGCUAGUUGGUAAGGUAACGGCUUACCAAGGCAACGAUGCGUAGCCGACCUGAGAGGGUGAUCGGCCACACUGGAACUGGGACACGGUCCAGACUCCUACGGGAGGCAGCGGUAGGGAAUCUUCCGCAAUGGGCGAAAGCCGGACGGAGCAACGCCGCGUGAGUGAUGAAGGUCUUCGGAUCGUAAAACUCUGUUAUUAGGGAAGAACAAAUGUGUAAGUAACUAUGCACGUCUUGACGGUACCUAAUCAGAAAGCCACGGCUAACUACGUG
RNAcentral lists this ribosomal RNA (497 nucleotides) under uncultured bacterium. RNAcentral describes it as "partial 16S ribosomal RNA". It matches the Rfam family "Bacterial small subunit ribosomal RNA", at positions 28 to 507 of the family's 1533-position model. The record is from RNAcentral.